Molecule: ribosomal RNA, 468 nt
Filed under: uncultured bacterium
Lineage: Bacteria
Description: partial 16S ribosomal RNA
Rfam family: Bacterial small subunit ribosomal RNA
Source: RNAcentral
GACGAACGCUGGCGGCGUGCUUAACACAUGCAAGUCGAACGGAAAGGCCCUGCUUUGGUGUGGUGCUCGAGUGGCGAACGGGUGAGUAACACGUGAGUAACCUGCCCUUGACUUUGGGAUAACUUCAGGAAACUGGGGCUAAUACCGGAUAGGAGCUCCGUCUGCAUGGUGGGGGUGGGAAAGUUUCGGCGGUUGGGUAUGGACUCGCCGCUUAUCAGCUUGUUGGUGGGGUAGUGGCUUACCAAGGCUUUGACGGGUGGCCGGCCCGGACGGGUGACCGGAACGACUGCGACUGAGCUGCGGCACAGCCCAGACUGGGAGGCAGCGGAGGGGAAGAGUGUACAACGGGAGGAAGCCUGACCCAGUACCGCGGCGUGGGGGAUGACGGCCAUGGGGUUGUAAUGUGAUUUCGUGUGUGACGAAGAGUGAGUGACGGUAAUGGGCAAAGAAGCAACGGCUAACUACGUG